Long non-coding RNA from Daphnia pulex (common water flea), 830 nucleotides. RefSeq lists it as uncharacterized. The record is from RefSeq and is a predicted model, not a curated record. Lineage: Eukaryota; Metazoa; Arthropoda; Branchiopoda; Diplostraca; Daphniidae. The transcript has 5 exons.
ACUAGACGACGCGGGUGUCUUCGUUAGUCGUUCGAGAGGCGCCUGAGAGGAGGCGAGUCGAGAGUGUCUUCGUGAGGGAGAAAUAUUUGCCAUUUGUUUACGAGACGCUGACUGAAAGUGUAUUCCAAAUUCAUUACGAAAUUGCGGUGUCGAUCUACAUUUUCAGCCAUGAAAUGGCAAUCUGUCAUAUAAUUUCACUUGGCUAAAUAAUGUGACCACUUUCACUUUGGUCGAAACUGCCGUCCAUUUUGUCGAAAUGUCGGCCAUGGUUUUAGCUGCACCCAUACGGCUCUACUUCUCAUCUCGUGCUGUAACAUUUCAGAGCUAUUGAUUUUCAGGUCGGAGAUGGAAAUCCCUUUGCUCAACUGAUGCAGAAAUUGAGGACAUGAGAAAAGUCUGAGCUUCAUGGAUGUUGUAUCUUUAAUGUGGUUUUGUUGCAGCCAGCUGGUGAGAAAAAUGUGUGUGAGUCAAGUUGAGCUGAAGGCCUGCAGCUGCAGCAUGCAGUUUAUCGAGCUGGUGUUAUCCCAAAAAGUGUCACUGCAGGAAAACAUCUUGAAUUGGAGUUCAUGGUCAGUUGGAGCUGUUUGGUGUACAGUGAUUUUGCAGUCCCUUUCCAGUUGAGAGAUGCUCUGAAAUGGAGCUUGUGCAGACUUGCAGUUCAAAAUCACACUUAAAUGAGUCAUUUGUCUAUGUUGGUGUUCAUGCAGUGUUGAACAAUUGGGUUUUAUAGUCAAUUCUGCCUGAUGGCUGUCGGUCUUAUUUUAUCCGUCUCUUGCUACCUGUGCCAGCGUUGAGUUGAAUCGUUUGCUGCCGUUCCAUAGACUUGAUCC